RNAcentral lists this long non-coding RNA (1304 nucleotides) under Pan troglodytes (chimpanzee). RNAcentral describes it as "lincRNA". The record is from RNAcentral. Lineage: Eukaryota; Metazoa; Chordata; Mammalia; Primates; Hominidae.
AUUUGUUUUAUUUUUAUUUUUUUGGUAAAGACAGGGUCUCGCUAUGUUGCCCAGGCUGGUGGUCUCGAACUCCUGGGCUCAAGCGAUCCUCCCGUCUCGGUGGCCAAAGUAUUGGAUGACAGGUGUGAGCCACCGCGCUGGGUGGUGAAACGGUUUUGAGGCUUUUUGAGAAUGGCUGUUCUAUAUGCCCGCGUGAGGUUCAUGCGGCGAGCGCCGCCACUCCCGCAGUGGCCCCUGUGGGGGUGAUACGUGAUGUGGCUUAAAUGUGAGAGGCCACCUGGACCCGUGUGAUUGCCACGUUUGCAGGAGCGCAGCCACGUGCACAGGGAUCGUGUGACAUUCUGUGUGAGGCUUUUUGCGCUGGGUCCACCCAUGAUUAGAGGACUAGUGUGACUGUGGCGGCCCCUGAGAAGGGAAGAAGCUGGUUGCGACCAGGAAGGUCUGAGAUGGAUGAAUGACAGAUCUCUGGACCAGGGCGUCCUGAAUCUUAGAUGUAUGCAUAGGAGCGGUGUGAGGUGACUGUGUAUGUUUGUGUGUGAGAGUCCAGAGCCGACUUAGAGGAGUGGAAGCUGGCACAUGUUAUCUGCCAGAAGGGACAGAUCCAUGGUAAGGAUUUUUAACCUUGCUGAGAGACCAGUAACUCCAUCACCAAGUGUAAUAUGAGGAAAUGGUGCUUGUUUGAGAACAAGUGAUUCUGCUUGUGUCUGAUUCUCAUUCAUGUAUGUGAGAUGGUUUGCACUUGAAACUGUCAGUGAGAGAGAAAGUAGAGUGAAAUAUAUGACGUACAGCUGGCCCUCCCUAUCCAUGGGUCUUGCAUCGUGGAUUCAACAAACCUUCAGUUGAAAAUAUCUGGGAAAAGAAGUUGAUGUUUGCAUCUGUACUGAACUUGUACAGGCUUUUUUUUCUUGUCAUCAUGCCCUAAAAAAUAGAAUAUAACAACUAUGUACAUAGUAUUUACAUGGUUAUUAGGUGUUAUAAGUAAUCUAGAGAGGGUUUAAAGAAUAUGGGAGGAUUUCCAUAGAUUAUAUGCAAAUACUGUGUGCAUUUUAUAUAAGGGACUUGAGCAUCUGUGUAUGUUGGUAGGGAGGGGUCCUGGAGGGACACUGAGGGAUGACUAUGUGAAAGUGGUUUGCGAAUAUGCUCAAGUCUCUAGAUGAAUUGUAUGACAGUGAAGGGGUACGUGAUUAGACUGUUGUGGCUUUGAGGUUGAUGUGUAUGUUUUAAAGGAUUAUGAUUGAGUUGGAGAUCAUGUGAGAUUUGGUGUGUUUGAAUGUGACAUGAAUUAAAAUCCGAAUGAAAGAUUG